Glycine soja is the source of this 439-nucleotide long non-coding RNA. RefSeq lists it as uncharacterized. NCBI's taxonomy places the organism in Eukaryota, Viridiplantae, Streptophyta, Magnoliopsida, Fabales, Fabaceae. The transcript has 2 exons. The record is from RefSeq and is a predicted model, not a curated record.
AUUACUAGAGAAUAAAAUAUAAGAGUGUUCAGAGGUGAAUCUUCAUAAAAUGCCUUUUCCCCUCAACCAACCUUUUCUCUUUGGAAUUUUGUGCAUUGCUUUGGUCCUGACUUCAGGAUCAGUGACAUGUUUGGGUGGGGAUCAAUCGGGGAUAAUCUGUAUAGGAGAUUGCUCACCAACUUGCAGCGGUGACUGUGUUGGCCGUGGUUAUAAGAACGGAGGCUCAUGUUUCUUAUUUUUCUCAUCUUUUAUGUGUUGUUGUAACGAAAAUUGACUACUUUUUACCCCUCUCCGAAGCAUGAAAAAAAUAAAACAUUGGUUGCAUACCAAUUGGCUACCAAGAAUAAUGCAUUUAUCCAUGGCUAUGAGAAUGGAUGUGCUUCUAUGGGUUUUAAUUUGCUGUAUUUUGUUAUAAGAAUUCACUACUUCGUACCCCCUC